GGCCAGACUCCUACGGGAGGCAGCAGUGGGGGAUAUUGCACAAUGGAGGAAACUCUGAUGCAGCGACGCCGCGUGAGGGAAGACGGUCUUCGGAUUGUAAACCUCUGUCUUUGGGGAAGAAAAUGACGGUACCCAAAGAGGAAGCUCCGGCUAACUACGUGCCAGCAGCCGCGGUAAUACGUAGGGAGCGAGCGUUGUCCGGAAUUACUGGGUGUAAAGGGAGCGUAGGCGGGCGAGAAAGUUGAAUGUUAAAUCUACCGGCUUAACUGGUAGCUGCGUUCAAAACUUCUUGUCUUGAGUGGAGUAGUGGCAGGCGGAAUUCCUAGUGUAGCGGUGAAAUGCAUAGAUAUCGCGCAGAACUCCGAUUGCGAAGGCAGCGUACCGGCGCCGGACUGACGCUGAGGCACGAAAGCGUGGGUAUCGAACAGGAUUAGAUACCCCGGUAU
RNAcentral lists this ribosomal RNA (446 nucleotides) under uncultured bacterium. RNAcentral describes it as "bacterial SSU rRNA". It matches the Rfam family "Bacterial small subunit ribosomal RNA", at positions 329 to 793 of the family's 1533-position model. The record is from RNAcentral.